CCUACGGGUGGCAGCAGUGGGGAAUAUUGGACAAUGGGGGGAACCCUGAUCCAGCCAUGCCGCGUGUGUGAAGAAGGCCCUCGGGUUGUAAAGCACUUUCAGUGAGGAAGAACGCCUGGUGGUUAAUACCCAUCAGGAAAGACAUCACUCACAGAAGAAGCACCGGCUAACUCCGUGCCAGCAGCCGCGGUAAUACGGAGGGUGCGAGCGUUAAUCGGAAUUACUGGGCGUAAAGCGCGCGUAGGUGGCUUGAUAAGCCGGUUGUGAAAUCCCCGGGCUCAACCUGGGAACAGCAUCCGGAACUGUCAAGCUAGAGUGCAGGAGAGGAAGGUAGAAUUCCCGGUGUAGCGGUGAAAUGCGUAGAGAUCGGGAGGAAUACCAGUGGCGAAGGCGGCCUUCUGGACUGACACUGACACUGAGGUGCGAAAGCGUGGGUAGCAAACAGGAUUAGAUACCCCAGUAGUC
This 465-nucleotide ribosomal RNA is filed under the name Vreelandella stevensii. Its description in RNAcentral is "partial 16S ribosomal RNA". It matches the Rfam family "Bacterial small subunit ribosomal RNA", at positions 338 to 795 of the family's 1533-position model. The record is from RNAcentral. Lineage: Bacteria; Pseudomonadati; Pseudomonadota; Gammaproteobacteria; Oceanospirillales; Halomonadaceae.